This 305-nucleotide long non-coding RNA is filed under the name Mytilus galloprovincialis (Mediterranean mussel). The record is from RNAcentral. Lineage: Eukaryota; Metazoa; Mollusca; Bivalvia; Mytilida; Mytilidae.
CGUGUAGAAUCCUGUUUAGGCUUUUAUACACAGUUUAAUAUAAAGGUGAAAAUUCAUUUAAUUUAUUAUUUUCUGUAUGUGUGUGUGUGUGUGUGUGUUUUAUACGGUUGAUUAUUGUGUGCAAAAUCUUGAGAGAAAAAAAUCAUCUUAUAAAGAUAUGAAAAACAAACUUUGUAUCAUGUAAGCUGUUCAGCAGUAUCACAACUUGAUGCAAGCUUUAGGGGAGUAUUAAAACUUGUUAACAAGUUGGGAACAACCACUCAAUGUAAUAUAAUGACUAUCCCUUUUUAUGCCCUUAACAUGAC